Molecule: ribosomal RNA, 686 nt
Filed under: uncultured marine alpha proteobacterium
Lineage: Bacteria; Pseudomonadati; Pseudomonadota; Alphaproteobacteria
Description: bacterial SSU rRNA
Rfam family: Bacterial small subunit ribosomal RNA
Source: RNAcentral
UUUUCAGCGUCGCAGCAAAAGCGUUAAGCACACCGCCUGGGGAGUACGACCGCAAGGUUAAAACUCAAAUGAAUUGACGGGGACCCGCACAAGCAGUGGAGCAUGUGGUUUAAUUCGAAGAUACGCGCAGAACCUUACCAACACUUGACAUGUCUGUCGCGAACCUAAGAGAUUAGGUUCUUCAUUUAGUUGGACAGAACACAGGUGCUGCAUGGCUGUCGUCAGCUCGUGUCGUGAGAUGUUGGGUUAAGUCCCGCAACGAGCGCAACCCUUACUUUUAGUUGCCACCAUUUAGUUGAGCACUCUAAAAGAACUGCCAGUGAUAAGCUGGAGGAAGGCGGGGAUGACGUCAAGUCCUCAUGGCCCUUACGUGUUGGGCUACACACGUGCUACAAUGGUACUUACAAUGAGACGCAAAGAGGUGACUCCUAGCCAAUCUCAAAAAAGUACCUCAGUUCGGAUUGUACUCUGCAACUCGAGUACAUGAAGCUGGAAUUGCUAGUAAUCGCGGAUCAGCGCGCCGCGGUGAAUACGUUCCCGGGUCUUGUACACACCGCCCGUCACACCAUGGAAGUUGGUUACACCUGAAGGCAAAACGUAAAACUUUUGACUACGGUACGAUCAGCGACUGGGGUGAAGUCGUAACAAGGUAGCCGUAGGGGAACCUGCGGCUGGAUCACCUCCUU